GACAGAUAGUUAACUUAGUUAUUAAAAGCGGUUGAUUAUAGGAUUAUGGUUAGAAUCUUGGAAUAGAAAGUAACUAUAUAGGAAUUGUAGAAAUUAGUCUGAGUACUACAUUGUGAUAGUCAUGAACAGGAGUGAAUUUGGUGCUACUUCUUUGUUUCUUUGUUGUUGAAGAGUAAUGGACAGUUUUUAAAUACUGUGAAGUGAAUCUGUGGAAUAAAUCAGAGAUCAAUUUAU
This 234-nucleotide long non-coding RNA is filed under the name Physcomitrium patens. RNAcentral's name for it is "long non-coding RNA (PPAT_LNC013312)". The record is from RNAcentral. Lineage: Eukaryota; Viridiplantae; Streptophyta; Bryopsida; Funariales; Funariaceae.